UGUACCUACGGGACGCAGCAGUAGGGAAUCUUCCACAAUGGGCGAAAGUCUGAUGGAGCAACGCCGCGUGAGUGAAGAAGGGUUUCGGCUCGUAAAGCUCUGUUGGUAGUGAAGGAAGAUGGAGGUAGUAACUGGGCUUUAUUUGACGGGAAUUACUUAGAAAGUCACGGCUAACUACGUGCCAGCAGCCGCGGUAAUACGUAGGUGGCAAGGGUUGUCCGGAUUUAUUGGGCGUAAAGCGAGUGCAGGCGGUUCAAUAA
This 260-nucleotide ribosomal RNA is filed under the name uncultured bacterium. Its description in RNAcentral is "partial 16S ribosomal RNA". It matches the Rfam family "Bacterial small subunit ribosomal RNA", at positions 335 to 586 of the family's 1533-position model. The record is from RNAcentral.